Molecule: ribosomal RNA, 252 nt
Filed under: uncultured bacterium
Lineage: Bacteria
Description: partial 16S ribosomal RNA
Rfam family: Bacterial small subunit ribosomal RNA
Source: RNAcentral
UACGUAGCAGCAAGCGUUGUUCGGAAUUACUGGGCGUAAAGAGUGUGUAGGCGGUGCUCCAAGUCUGGUGUGAAAUCUCCCGGCUUAACUGGGAGGGUGCAUUAGAAACUGGAAUGCUAGAGGAUGGGAGAGGUAAGCGGAAUUCCUGGUGUAGCGGUGAAAUGCGUAGAUAUCAGGAGGAACACCUGUGGUGUAGACAGCUUACUGGACCAUUUCUGACGCUGAGACACGAAAGCGUGGGUAGCAAACAGG